UUUAAAGGAAACCAAAAUGAGAUGAGGGCAUUUGAUUCUUCUAAGUCCUGGAUGAAGAGAAAUACCAAACCCACAAAGAUAACAACUCAGAUGAAGUGGAUUUAGGCCUCCAAGAUCAGGCAAAAGAUGAUAAAGGCUAAGUGACUAACUGUUGCAUCACCAUCGCCCCUUAGGAGUGAGCACUGCCAUCUGUCUCCUUGACAGUCGAAUGCUACUGUGAUAGUGAGAAAGAAGGCCAAAUUCAUGGGUGAGAGAAACAGUGAAAGUGUUGUUGUGUUGAUUUUGAGAGAUGG
Molecule: unclassified non-coding RNA, 293 nt
Filed under: Hevea brasiliensis (rubber tree)
Lineage: Eukaryota; Viridiplantae; Streptophyta; Magnoliopsida; Malpighiales; Euphorbiaceae
Source: RNAcentral